GGCAAAACAGGACUCGAAUCUCAUCUUGGACUUCAGGUCCAGGACUCUUACUACCCUUUGUGGCCCCCUCUGGAUGGGCUGGGAAGAGCCAGAAAGGCAGGAGCGGAGAAGCGGUGUCCCUUUGUCUCCUUCAGAUGAGGACCACGGAAACACUCACCCUGGGCUUCAGACGGGGAAGCUGAGGCUCAGAGAGGAUUCAGAAAAUGCAGACCAUAUCCACCCCCAACACUACCUGCCCAGCCGGGAAGCACAGGGGUCAUUCUCUUGGAGGGUGAGAGAGGGCAACUCCACUCUGGGUAAGAAAGUCAUCACAAGAAGGUGCGUCUGGGUGGAAUUACAGGUGAGUUUGAUUUACAACAUAGGGCUUUUCUGCAUUUCUCAGAUUCUCUUUGAGCCUGAAUUCAGUUUGUAAUCAGAUAUCCCCCAAUAAUACUAAGUGUAUUUUUGUUACCUGCUUUAGGCAUUAUCUAAAUCAACUCUGACAACCACUCUGGUAGGGAGUUGUUACCAUUGCUAUUCCUGUUUUAAAGAGGAAGAAAGAGGAGUCUAGACAUUUGCCCAAGGUCAUACAGCAAGUGGCACAGCUGUGACUCUAACCACAUUAAAUGCAAUUGAAUCAAUCAAAAGUUAAUAUCAGGGAUGGUCCGGGUCUAUGGGAGAAUGCUGAUUUGCUUGCUCCUCUGUGACUUGCCCAAUGGCACUCUGGAUGUUGUGUGGACAAACAGCCUGGGCCCCACAGAAAGCUGCUGAGCGGCCCCUGGAGACAGGAGAAGCCUGGCAUGAUCCCCCACCCCUUGCCAGGACCUGGACACCUCUCGCUGCUCAAGACAAUGGGAACACU
RNAcentral lists this long non-coding RNA (841 nucleotides) under Bos indicus x Bos taurus (hybrid cattle). RNAcentral describes it as "lncRNA (ENSBIXG00000020351.1)". Lineage: Eukaryota; Metazoa; Chordata; Mammalia; Artiodactyla; Bovidae. The record is from RNAcentral.